UAUUUAGUCAGCUUAAAUUAAACUUCAACAGAUUCAACUACACCAUUACCCUAAAAUGUUAUCUACACUGAAGGAAAUUGUUUAAUGACAACUUAUAAAGUACUAUAAAUUGAGAGAUGACAUGAUUAGAACCCUGUCCUUUAUCAUGCCUUCCAGGUCUUUUGACAACAUUUACUGAUACAUCUGAACCAUCGGUUCACUUUCACUUUUUCCGCAGCAAGGUGGCUACUUGACUACAUCUGCAGCUCUCGAUGAAGCCGUUUGAAGAGGGACCUUGUAUUUGAGGCCCUCUGUCACAAAUCUUUUCAGGUAAAGGCUGAAAGGUCCGCCGGUGCAUCAAUCCAAAUGCUCUCAAAAGGAUCUUGUUCUCCCCAAUCGUAACACUGCUUUCGCGGGUAGUAUCUGUUUUUAUCGAGAGAAUAGGAUAUGCAGCGCCUUCCAUAAAAACGAACCUUAGAGAAAUAAAUACUAUUUCUCAUCACACCAAGAAUGUCUGUCCUUGCUUGGGAUGAAAGGAAACUAGCAAAAAGAGUCAAACCACCUAAAGUUUGCAUCUCCACCCAAAUUUUAUUAAUUUGGUCCAACUUAUAUACCACGGGGUUUGCAGUAGAGCAAGUAUAUAUCACAUAGAUAUCUCCAUCGUGCUCUGCCAUGAAUUUUCCUUUCCACCAAUUUUUGACGAAAAAGUUCUCGGGGCAUCUCGGAGGUGGAACCACACGAACAAGCCAAGUAUGUUCUUCUGGAUCAUAGACUCCCAACCAGCCAGUAAGACUCAGACAAUAAAAGAGACCAUUGCAGAAAACUAACUUAUUCCAAAUGCUGCUAACAAAUGGCAAACGGUUUUGGUAAUUGGCAGUUGUCCAUUCAGUUGCUCCUGGUUUACAUGUGCUAAUUGCAACCAAAGUGGGGCUGACAUGCUUAACUGUGAAAACAAUACAGUCAGGGGAUGUUGGGGCUGCCGAAAAAGCAACUAUCUGGUAUGUUAAUUCUAGUCCUGGCAAAUUGAUCACCUCCUUCGUAUAAGGAUUGAAGAAGAACACACGCAAAGUUCUGGGCUUGUAUAGCAGCAACCAGCCAUCCUUUGCAUAACAAAGCCUUGAGCCACGUAACUCUGGUAACUCAACAGAAUAAGUUUGCCUCACUGAAGGGUCAUAGAAUUCAACCAAGUCACCGAAUUUCGGGAAAAACAUAAGCCAAG
RNAcentral lists this unclassified non-coding RNA (1198 nucleotides) under Hevea brasiliensis (rubber tree). Lineage: Eukaryota; Viridiplantae; Streptophyta; Magnoliopsida; Malpighiales; Euphorbiaceae. The record is from RNAcentral.